RNAcentral lists this ribosomal RNA (460 nucleotides) under uncultured bacterium. Its description in RNAcentral is "partial 16S ribosomal RNA". It matches the Rfam family "Bacterial small subunit ribosomal RNA", at positions 338 to 795 of the family's 1533-position model. The record is from RNAcentral.
CCUACGGGAGGCUGCAGUGAGGAAUAUUGGUCAAUGGGCGCGCGCCUGAACCAGCCAAGUAGCGUGAAGGAUGACUGCCCUCCGGGUUGUACACUUCUUUUAUAAAGGAAUAAAGUGAGGCACGUGUGCCUUUUUGUAUGUACUUUAUGAAUAAGGAUCGGCUAACUCCCUGCCCGCGGCCGCGGUAAUACGGAAGGUCCGGGCGUUAUCCGGAUUUAUUGGGUUUAAAGGGGGCGUAGGCCGCAUGUCAAGCGUGCUGUGAAAUGUCCGGGCUCAACCCGGGCCUUGCAGCGCGAACUGGCGUGCGUGAGUCCGCGGAAAGCAGGCGGAAUUCGUCGUGUAGCGGUGAAAUGCUUAGAUAUGACGAAGAACCCCGAUUGCGAAGGCAGCUUGCUGCAGCGGAACUGACGCUGAUGCUCGAAAGCGCGGGUAUCGAACAGGAUUAGAUACCCUUGUAGUC